CUCUCAAAUCCUUCUUCUCAGUUCUGAGACAUUUCUGUUCGCCUUUUGUUCCGAUGCUUUUUCAUCCGAAGCGACUUCGCCGGCUGUAUAAAUGGGUAAAAAAAAAACCUGCUUAGAGGUCUAAUAGCAGCCCCCGCCUUCGGACAUCAGGAAUUAGCCCCCUUUCGUCUUUCUCAUUACCCACAAUGCCCUAUCGUUUCCCAGUCAAAUCAGGAAAUGGGCUUCAAUCCACCUUCAAUCUAGCUACUUGCUGACAUGUUACGAUCCCCGCAAAAGUUCUGCCGGUUUCAAGUUUUCGACUAACUUCAUGAAAGACAUUUCGAUCUGACAGCUUCCACUGACGCUGUACUUUUCCUUUUGGAUCAAGAGGAACGGAUCGUUUAUGAGGAAUAGAUCAUCUCAUCAAGCCGAUAACAUCAUAUAAGGCCGCUAACCUACUGAUAUAGGCGCAGAAUCCUGCAGUCAGGAAUUCGGGCUUUGACCCCAUGUGGAGCACUCGUUCAGACCCCACGGCAGACAGGAAGCAAUUCUGAAGGGCCUCCUAUUUUGGAUCUACUAAUCCACCCCACUCCACCCACCCAGACAGGCCUCCAUCCUUGCAGUAGUGACUUUUUCAACAUCCUGCUGGAUAAACCUACGAUCCGAGCCGCUGAUGAGGGCUAAUUAAACGACGGAGGAGGGAUGCGAUUGGCAGCCAGCACGUCCACCUGUGAUGAGCGUCUGCUGGACCAGCUGGGAGUAGCCCCGCCCCCUUCAGCUGCCUCAUAUCAAUGAUGUUGCCGCAGAUCCUGCAGACGGCUACUGAGAGGUCCCGCCCCCUGGCCGUGAUUGGUGAGCCCAUGGAGGAGAACUUGUGAAAAUGGAUAGGAGAAGGGAUGGAACUCCACCCAGCAAGGCUGAAAACAGGGAUGGAAAAUCGGCAAUAACACCCCCCCCCCCCCCCCACACACACACCGCUGUGGGUCUCUGAAAGUAUGGCGUGCAAAGCCUCGCACCAUCACCACACUCCGCCAGCAUGACCUCUGACGCGGAACAGACACCCGUUCCGGACGUGCUCUGGCAGGAGACUCGGAAUUCCGGCGGGAACGUCGCACAGGGGUGCGACGGAAGGCUUGUGUAGUUUUUCCAUUUGUCCGCUCGCCAACAUCCACCGACGUUUGUCGCCAUUUUUCUGGUGCCCGUCGCCACGCUGACCUCAAGAGUUACGACGGGGGGGGCAUGUGAGACCCCCGCCACCAUCGCCAUGGAGAGGGCCGGGUGAUUUGUUGGACAGUCGGAGCCUUUGGAACCGGCCAGGGAUACGGGGAUCCUCAGUCACGUAAACAUAAAACUUAUUAACGAUAUUAUGCGGCUCUUAAAAGGCAUACGAGAGCCCUGCUGGGAUGGCUGGAGGUGCGGCUAACGGCAAGGCCACGGCACGAUUCCAGUUACAACACAUUAGACACAACAUAAUAGGACCACUGGCACGCACAUUAUACUAAAAUGGCUGUAGGGUUACGCCGGACACUAAAUACACGCUGUCCUUUCCUGUACUCUGUCCCUUCUUGAUUACAGGAGCAGGACGCUUCUUAGUGCAUGUCCCUGGAUCAGAGGGAUGAAAUUCCUCCGUUUCAUAUAGAAUUAUAUAAAACCCCAAACAAUCAAUCCAGUAAAAAAAUAAGUGCACGUUUGUCAGCAUUAUAAGAUCUGCUAAUUAUUUUUUAUAACCUAGUGGGAUAAAACAGCCCCUUUCUGUCAGGUGUUUCUUAUAUUACACCAGAACACCUACAAAACAUCAUCUUACAAAUGUAUGGAUCAGAAGCCUUAACAUACUCAUCAACGAAGAUAACACCAACCCGGCCCCCCCGCUGAGGGUAAGUUUGGAUAAACAGAAAUGGGGGGAAGGUGCCUGUCUCUAUGUCACCUUGAUGAUCCAGAGCAUUUAAUGAUAACUAGAAGUAGGCACUUGAUAUUUGAGGUCAUCCUUUCAGACUCAUUAUUUUCUGUGAAACUCAAAAAC
This is a long non-coding RNA of Brienomyrus brachyistius, 1999 nucleotides long. RefSeq lists it as uncharacterized. The transcript has 6 exons. Lineage: Eukaryota; Metazoa; Chordata; Actinopteri; Osteoglossiformes; Mormyridae. The record is from RefSeq and is a predicted model, not a curated record.